This is an RNA transcript of Photinus pyralis (common eastern firefly), 4987 nucleotides long. RefSeq lists it as uncharacterized. The record is from RefSeq and is a predicted model, not a curated record. The transcript is spliced from 7 exons. NCBI's taxonomy places the organism in Eukaryota, Metazoa, Arthropoda, Insecta, Coleoptera, Lampyridae.
AACCAAAGUUAACUCUGACUGUUCUCACAGUAACUAUAUUCUAACCAUAAAAGUUAAUCGUACUUAAGUAUGAAUUAGGUAUCUCUUGUGUAACUGCGGUAGUUACAUUUGAUAGGUAUCCAUCACGGUAACCAAUAUCUACCAAUUAGUAAAAUCACGUAGGCGCUCUAAAAAUUAACUAUUUCGGGUUAACCUUUGGGCAUCAUUGAAGAUAAACAAUUUCAUAAAGACUACAAAAGUCAACUGCGGAAGAUACCGAGUGGAUAGGUGUCAAUUUGCUUUCAUUUGAAAUCAUCGAAAAGGUAACUUAAGAGGUUAUAUUCAUGAUCGCAUUGAAAGUUACCCAUUGAUCGAAAAUGAGAGACGAAAAAAGUCAUGUAUCCAUUAUAUAUUAUUUUGAAUUUGACUUUUAGACUGUUGUCUAUAGAUUUACACAGAUAAUAAAAAAGUUAACUUCUGAUUAUAGUAUAAAACAAAAUCGUACGGUUAACAUUUUGUUACACGGUUGGAAGUUUAAUAAUUACAAAUAUUAUAUUGAAUUUAGACUUAGGGGCUCGUCAUUUUAAAUAUUUAACCGCACUUUAUGAUUUAAAGUGAAAUGGUGCUGUUAGAUUUUGCUAUUUUUUUUUAAUACACGUCUAUUUUUUUUCAACCAGCAUUUGGAAUCUGCUCUUUUGGGGGCUGACUUUUGAGAAAUUUAUUCGGCAAACAUAAAGUUAGCCUCUAAGUAGGAUUUAGCGUUAUAUUCGAACGAAAACAGUACAAGAUUAAACUUAUAUUUUAAAUCGCAGUCUUUAAGGUGUCUUAUAGGUAAGAAAAAGUUUGCUCUUAUUGAUGAUUUAAAGCAAUACCAAAUGGUUGGUUUUUAUGAAUUCUACAGCUUUAUGGAGUUUUAAUAAUUACAAUACGUGCCGACAAAAAGGUACUCUUUAGUCAUAAAGGUUAAUGUAAACAUAAAAUGCUGAUUGGCAGAAAAGUUUAAGGAUUAAGUCUACAAAGUGUUGACCGGUAAGUGUUGCAGGUAAAAAUAUUACCUACCUACCACAAAUGGAUUUCUGUAGGUACUCGAAAAUUUUGUAAUUGCAUCUCUAAUGGAACUUUACACCAAGAAGAAACUAAAUUGUCGCUUUUUUAUUUUGAUGAUUAUUAAAGUACAAUUUUUAUGUUAUUAGUUGAACGCAGGUUUCGAAUAUUAUAACUUAAAAUUAUCCGGAUGUUAACAAUACCUACUACUAACAAAAGAAAACUUAAAAUCUUACUAGAUACCUGUUCUAAUGAUUCGACCUUUUCCCAGCUUAAUAUUUUUGCUAAGUACCUGAAAUUCUCAGAUGUACAGUCGGUACAUUACCCAUCCAAAAACGCAAAAAUACCUUUUACAGAACGGUGGUGUAUCUUGUAAGUGCAUCAGUUAUUUCGCAACGCUGAUCUUAAUUUAAAUUUUUAAAGGUAAGUAAAUAUUUUAUUGCAAAAUGUUAUAUACCACAGCAGUUUUAUUGUAGAUGUACCGAAAUUAUUCAAAAGGGCAUCGAUAUCGCCUUAUUAGACAAACAAAAUCUAGAAUCUUAAAUAAUAGUUCCAGUGUUCCUUUAGUUAAAUCCACUAACUUUUCUCAGCAAUCCGUACCUAGAAGCCCUUCCCCUGCUAUAACAGAAAAAAUUCAGAAUACUAGAGACAUUAGUUCAAUAAAUUUAGAUAAUUUUAAUUCACCGUUACAAUUUCAUGGCAAUCAUAUAACAGACAGCGCUACAUUCAUUAAAGAUGAAAUACGACAGUGGGCCCUUGAAUUUAAUAUAAAUCAAAAUGCGCUAUCUAAUUUAUUAAAAAGGCUAAAUCAACAUAAGUGUUUUGUUAAUGUUUUACCCCAAGACGCCAGAACCCUGUUAGGUACUCCAAGAGUAAUUAACAUAAAAAAUAUAAACCCAGGAAAUUAUAUUCAUUUCGGGCUAAAAGAUAAUAUUAAAAAGAUUUUAAUGCAGCUUGAUCCCAUUCGUGUCAUUGUUACACUAAAUAUAAAUGUAGAUGGGUUACCCUUAACUAAAAGUACAAAUGCACAAUUAUGGCCAAUUUUAGCGAAUUUGCAUGAAAUAAAAAAUUCACAUUUCAUUGUUGGUAUAUACCACGGUUGUAGUAAACCCCUGUCUCCAAAUGAAUAUUUGAAAGAAUUUGUGGAAGAAGCAAAAUUUAUUUUAAAAAACGGUAUAGAAAUUAAAAAUAGACAGUGUCGUGUAGAAAUUAGGGCAUUUAUUUGUGAUGCGCCCGCAAAGGCAUACAUAACUAUGACGAAAGGCCACAAUGCCCAUUUUGGUUGUGGAAAAUGUGAACAAGAGGGCAAAUAUUAUAAUAAUAGAGUAAUUUUUUUAGAUACAAACGCUACAUUGCGAUCAGAUGCAAAUUUUUUAAACCAAGUCCAAGAAGAGCACCAUAAGGGUGUUUCAAUUUUAACAGAGCUAGGUAUCGGCUUGAUUACAAGCUUUCCAUUAGAUUACAUGCAUCUCGUAUGCUUAGGUGUUAUGAAAAAAAUGAUAAAAUUAUGGAUGAGAGGUAGUCUUAAAUUUCGUUGGCAUUCGAAAAAAAUUGAAACUGUUUCGUUAAAACUCGAAAACCUUAAAAAAUUUAUCCCCAAAGAAUUUUGCAGAAAACCCAGAACCCUUAAGGAAGUGGACAGAUGGAAAGCUACUGAAUUUCGUCAAUUUCUACUGUAUACCGGACCUAUCGUUUUAAAAGAUGUUUUACCACAACAUUAUUAUGACCAUUUCAUUUGCUUACAUAGCGCAAUUAGUAUUUUAGCUUCGAUUUCUCUUAGAAAAUAUAGAAAAUUUGCAAAAGCCUUAUUAAUUUACUUUGUGGAACUAUUUGGUUCAUUAUAUGGAAAAGAACAAGUUUCGUACAAUGUACAUAAUUUAAUACAUCUGCCAGAUAGUGUUGACACUUUCGGUAAUAUUGAUUCGUUCAGUGCAUUUCCAUUUGAAAGUUAUAUGCAGACUAUUAAGAAAAUGGUUAGGAAAUCAGAAAAACCUUUGCAGCAAAUUGGUAAUAGGGUUCAUGAAUUAACUUCCAGAAUAGUAGACAGGCAUAAUGACCAGGAACUACCCGUUAUGCAAUAUCCAAUUGUACAUCACAAUAAUAUACUGACAAAUACUCACAAAAUGUUAAUUACAAAGGAAUAUAUUGUUAUUGCUAAUUCAGUGGCAAAUCAAUGCGUUCGAGUCCAAGGUGGAGUAUACAUUUUUACAGAAUUAAUCGGUUAUCAUGAAAAUUCCUUGGUAAUUGUAGGUAAGGUGUUUGAAAAGGUCAAUAAUUUUUAUACACACCCAAUUGAAUCUAAAUUAUUAGGAAUAGUUCUACUAGAAAAUUUGUCUCAGACUACUGGUAUUUGGCAUGUUACUGAUAUAUCAGAAAAAAUGUUUACCAUAAGCAUAAAUAAAGGUACAUACGCAGCUUUCCCACUUUUACAUCAAAUUACUUGUUAGCAGCUUUCCCACUUUCACAUCAAAUUACUUGUUAACAUAGUUUUAUUAUUUAGUUAGUUAUUUUUAUUAAUAUGUGUCUCUUGUUGUAAUUGAAGUACAAAAUUGAAGUAUAAAUUGUAAACAGAAACUAAAAUAGCUUUAAUUUACAAUGAAAAGUUCACUAUUUAUUUCAGUUGUGACUAAACUAGUUUUGGAGUUUGAACUCCAUCUUCAGGUACAAAAAGUUAGGUAAUCACAUUAAUAAUUUAUUUUAAACGAUCAUAUUCUGUUAUAAUUUAUUUAUAAUACCCUAAUAACCUCAUGGAGAAAUUUGUCAAUAUUAAGAAAUUGCUUUGUUAAUAAAAUUUCUUCAUUUUGACUUUUCUUCGAUUGUACGCCACUUCUACAAGUAGGUACCUAAUGUAUUUCAAAACGAAAAUGUUUAUUAUGUUUUUUAUUUAGAUGAGUCGUUAUGUCGUUGUUCAUUUUACAAAGGAGAAUAGUGUGUCAGCUGUUCCUGAAAAGUGGGUUGUAGGGGACAAAUGUUUCUGGCCGAAAACAUCUCUUGUAAGGCCGUUAAUUAAACAAAGCGUUAGUCCGAAAUCUUCUUGGGAACAAUUUGCCGCAAAAGUCUUCCGUGAUAAACAAGGCAACGUUAAGUACUUUGAUUCACUUGAUCUAGCAGAAGAAAAGGCAGUGCAAGCUGAAGAAACGUCCGACUUAAGUACGGAUGAAGAUAGUUCAGGGCCUAGUCGCAUCAGUACAGGACUACAUCCUCCUCCUGUUCCAAGUGUUAGCAAUUUUGAGUUGGAGGACGAUUUGUCAGAAGAUGUUACAAUGGAAGAUGGAUUAAAUGCUACAUUGACUCCGUUAAUCGAGGUUCCUAUGUCUGCAAUCGCGUCUUCCUCACCAAUUCGUCAACAGCGAUCGCCAAUUUCCAUUCAAACACGAUGCGUAUGUGGAGGCAUUUCAACAAGUUUAGAAAAACUUGUCGAUCAGGUUGCAUGCAUGCAAUCAGAUAUUACGGAAAUAAGGGAGUUGUUACGUAGCGAGCGAACGGUUGGAAACAACUUAGCACAGCCAAAUAUAAAAUUGCCCGAUCUUCCAGCCAAAACACUCGAGGAAUUUUUGCUAUUAGAGGAAUACUCGAAGAUUCCUCAACAGGCCAAUGCAUUGAUAAAACAUUUAUCUACAGUUGGUGGUAUAAAUGUUGGAAAUGCCACAAGAAGGAUUUGGUCCCUUAUUGUGACCGAUUUUGUUAGCAGCAGAUUGAGCUGGAUCGGGGCAAAUGAAAAAACCAAGUUGCAAAAUUUAAAUAUAAAUCGAAUAAUUAUAGUUGCUGUAAGAACAAUAAUACCGAACGCCACUGACAUAGAAGUCUUGUCUGCAACCAAAGUUUGGAUUCGAAAAUCGGCAGAAAGGAUAAGAAAAAUGGACAAAACUAUUUAAAUGUUAUUUAUAUUUGUCAUAUUAUAGAUAAUAGAUACAUAGUGACAUGUAUAAGUUGUUAAAGAACCAAUAUAGCGUGUGAUCCUGUA